This 420-nucleotide long non-coding RNA is filed under the name Homo sapiens (human). RNAcentral's name for it is "non-protein coding LINC01138:38". The record is from RNAcentral. Lineage: Eukaryota; Metazoa; Chordata; Mammalia; Primates; Hominidae.
UUGUAGUUCUGUUUCAUCAAAUGGAAAUGGGACAUGGACAGUUUCUCCUAUCCCAUGCAGACCAUGCUCCUGAAUUAAAACUGCAGAAUGUGUUAAAGCAUCAUUCAACAUCGUGAGCACAUUUGAGAUACUGUACAGGACAACCUGCUUUUCAUAUUCUCUGUGAAUUUCAAAGACGACUGGGAUUUUCUUCCUCCUCUACCACCCUGAACAGCAAGACCAAUACAUCCUGUAUUUCCUCCUCUUCAGCCUACUUGUGAAGACAAGGAUGAAGACCUCCAUGAUGAGCCAUCUCCACUUAAUGACUGUCUCACAUUGGCCGGCAACUUGUUCCAGGUAUAGUUGUGCCGGAUGUGGAACUCCACAUCUAUGUUCAUGAUGCGGCGGCCAGGGCCGGCGGCGGGGGCCACGACCGCGACC